Molecule: ribosomal RNA, 498 nt
Filed under: uncultured bacterium
Lineage: Bacteria
Description: partial 16S ribosomal RNA
Rfam family: Bacterial small subunit ribosomal RNA
Source: RNAcentral
GAUGAACGCUAGCGGCAGGCCUAAUACAUGCAAGUCGGACGGGAUUGAGGAGCUUGCUCUUCAUGAGAGUGGCGCACGGGUGCGUAACACGUAUGUAAUCUACCUUGUUCAGGGGGAUAGCCUCUCGAAAGAGAGAUUAAGACCGCAUAACAUAUUGAAGUGGCAUCACUUUAUUAUCAAAUAUUUAUAGGAACAAGAUGGGCAUGCGGAACAUUAGCUAGUUGGUGAGGUAACGGCUCACAAAGGCGACGAUGUUUAGGGGAUCUGAGAGGAUGGCCCCCCACACUGGUACUAAGACACGGACCAGACUCCUACGGGAGGCAGCAGUAAGGAAUAUUGGUCAAUGGACGGAAGUCUGAACCAGCCAUGCCGCGUGCAGGAAGACGGCCCUAUGGGUUGUAAACUGCUUUUGCAGGGGAAUAAACCUCUCUACGUGUAGAGAGCUGAAUGUACUCUGAGAAUAAGGAUCGGCUAACUCCGUGCCAGCCGCCGCAGUAA